AACUUUUAACGGUGGAUCUCUUGGCUCGUGCAUCGAUGAAGAACGCAGCGAGCUGCAAUAGCUACGGAAGUGUUAAUUUUAGAAUUGAGUGAAUCAUCGAAUCUUUGAACGCAAAUGGCGCUCUCGGUUAUACCGGGAGCAUAUCUGCCUGAGUGUUG
Ribosomal RNA from Dendronephthya gigantea, 158 nucleotides. RefSeq annotates it as 5.8S ribosomal RNA. NCBI's taxonomy places the organism in Eukaryota, Metazoa, Cnidaria, Anthozoa, Malacalcyonacea, Nephtheidae. The transcript has a single exon. The record is from RefSeq and is a predicted model, not a curated record.